Molecule: long non-coding RNA, 4465 nt
Filed under: Marmota monax (woodchuck)
Lineage: Eukaryota; Metazoa; Chordata; Mammalia; Rodentia; Sciuridae
Source: RNAcentral
CAGACCUAUGGAUGGAGUUCAUGGACUGAACCUCUGAAAUGGUGAGCCAAAAUAAACUUUUCCUCUUCUAAGUUGUUCUUGUAGAGUAUUUCACUGUGACGAAAAGCUGACUGAAACAAACAUGAUUUAGUUAAAAGUCAUAAUUGGAGGACCAACAUUGGCUUAAAUCCAGUAAAAGUUUCUCUUUCUUUAAAGUCAGAAAGUAUAAUUUACUCCAAGAAACCCCCAGAACUGUCUCCUAUUCUAGUGUAUGGCAUUUAUUUUCAAGGUCAAUUCAUGGUCCAAAAUGGUUGCUCUAAUUACCGCCAUCUGGUAUUCCAGCCAAUGGGAAGGAAUAAGGAGGUUGUGAAGGGCAAAGGACAAUGUCAGUUGUUUCUUAAAGAAGGUGCUGCAUGAAUUUGUUUACAUUUCAUUGACCAACACGUAGUGCUAUGGUAUUCCCCUAGCUUCAAGGGAAAAUGUAAAUUAUUCUAGGUAGCUGUAUUCCUAGCUUAAAUUUUCAUUAAUACAGAAGAGAGAGAAUGGAUAACUAGGGUCCAAUUAUCAGUCUCUGUUACAGUGAUCUACUUUUCAGGACACCUAGAGUGGGGAAUUUUGGCUGGAUGGCACAAGAGAAAAUAAUUAUUGAAAGUAGUUGGUGUCUGAAAAAAAUAAAAUGAAGUAGUUGGUGUCUGAUAAGCCAGUUUUUGAUCUUACCAAGAAAAUAUCUUGAAUUACUCUGUCCAAUAAGAUAGCCACUAACCACAUGAGACUAUGGAGCAUUUAGAAUGUGGCUAUUCCAAAUUGAAAUGUGCUGUAAGUAUAACAUACAUUCUGGAUUUCAAAGACUGGGUAUAAAAAAAGGAUGUAAAACAUUAAUAAUUUUUACAGUGCAUACAUGUUGAAAUGUUAAUAUUUUACAUGUAUUAGAGUAAAUAAAUGAUAUUUUUAGAAUUAAUUUCAACUUUUUCUUUUUACUUUUUUAAAUUUAAAAUUAUACAUGUGGCUUGCAUUUUAUUUCUAUUAGAAAGCAUUGACCUAGAAUGUCCCAAAUCUAAUAGAACUGGUCUCCAUAGAAAGGAGUUUCUAUAUAGUCCUGAGAGGGAUCAUUCCUUGAAUGAAUUAUUCAAUGAAUGAUGAAUUCUCUAACGUGGGACUCAAAAAGCAAGAUUUUGGCACCAUCCUUGGAAAUGCUGCUAGAGGGAGAUGUUUCUGUGUCCCUUCAGGGGACAGAUAUCAAUGUUGACAUUCUCCUCAGAGCAUCCAAGGGAACUCAACUUCAUGGCAUUUCUUGUUCAGUGAACCAUUUUAGAGUUCCAUUUUAGAAUCACUUUUAGUGUUUCUAUGAAUAUUUUCCACAAAAAUGAGAAAUUGACUAGCAAGCUAAGUGAUAUGUCUGGGAGGAGUGACAUGUCUGAAAUUAAAAAACUGGAAUGCUAAUAAUAAGAACAUGCAUUUGCUACCCUGAAGUUUAGGCAUUUUUAUUUUUCUUCCUGUCAAGAGUUCCUAAUUAUCUUGAUCAGUGAUUCUUAAAGUAUGGGUUGUGGACCCUGCAGCAUCACCAACACCUGGGAGCUUGUUAUAAAUGCAGAUUCUUGGGUCCCACUCGAGACCCGAGGAAUCAAACACUAUGGGGUUGGAGUCCAGCACAGGCUGUUUUAACAAGCUUUCAGAUGAUUCUGCCAUAAGCUAAAGUUUGUUUGUUUGGUGCUGGGGAUCGAACCCGGGGCCUUGUGCAUGCAAAGCAAGUACUCUACCAACUGAGCUAUACCCCAGGCCUCCAUAAGCUAAAGUUUGAGGAUCAUCAGUUUAAAGCUAUAGUUUUCUUGCCAAGUAGAUCUUUACCCCCAUAAGAUACAUCCAGCAGUUGUUUUUUUUUUUUUUUUUAAUAAAAAUAUCAUCCUGUUUAAUGCUAUAUGUCACAAGAGGGAAAGUAUGCAAGAAGUGUUGUUACCUCUUGGUUGUAAACAUGAUAUCACAUUUCUUUCUGGUUUUUGAGUAAAAUUUGGUAAGAAAAUGAGAGCUCAUUUGAAAGGUAUGAGGCUGGAGGCUGUUGUUGGGGUGAGUCUCCUUAGCUCACCUCACUGCUAAGCCCACUCCUAAAUUUACUGCAAUUUCUCCUGGAAGUGGCUGUGGCUGGGAGCAGCCCAUCUGCUCAGGUUCCACCUGCUGGCUCUUGUGACCACCUGAACUUCCUGUCUGCUCCCAAGCAGCUUCUGUUCCCUAUUUCUCUCCUUUCCAGCCUGAUUCCCUCCUCCCUGAGUGGCAUUUUUGCUGUCCCAAAUAGCUCACUUCCUUAAUUUUAGUUAGUGUGAGCAGCUUUGCUCUAUAAGGCCUUUGCCAACUCCUAAGUCCUUAAUUGUUCUCUAGGCCAUCCAAGCCCAGUUCUUCCAAGGCACAGACUUACAAUCCUACACCUGAAAUAUGAGGCAUAAUAAGAGGCUCAGCCAGCAGCAGUUCCAUCACUAAACAAAUGUGUGGGAACUGCAGAGAUACCUGCUGACAGUGGCUAACUUGCUUGCUGACCAGUAUCUCAACUCCCCCACCUCCUGCCCCCCUAGGGACUGAAUUUUGCCCUGAAACUCAGAGAACACUGAGUUUCUUUUUCUUUUAGUUAAAACAAAAGAAUUGUGUUUUUUUUUUCCUCACAGUCCUGAAGCCCGAAGCCAGGCAAUCCGAGGUCCAUGUGCCAUUACGGUUGGUUUCUGGUGAGACCUCUCUUAUAGGCUUGUAGACAGAUGGCUGUCUUGCUGUAUCCUCAAACAGCCUCUUCUCUGUGCAUACUUGCAGGGGAAGCUUGCAUUCUGGUGUCUUUCCCUUAUCUUUCUUUUAAUCAUUUAUUUAAAUUUUUUUAAUUGAGAAAAUUUGCAUAUUAUAUAUUUAUUUUUCAUAUUGUAUCUCAUACACAUAUAUUAUCACAUACAGCUUGAUUUUUGAAAUAUGAAAUGGCUAAAUUAGUUAACAUAUGUUUCAUCCAGUUAACAUAUGUAUUAUCCCACAUAUUUAUUGUUUUGGUGGUGAGAACACUUGAAAUUUAUUCUUAGUGAUUUUUAAGAAUACAAUACAUUGUUAUUAACUCUAACCACCAAGUUGUACAAUAGAUCCCUGAAUUUAUUCAUCUUAUCUAACUGAAAGUUUAUAUCAUUUGACCGGCAUCUCCCCAUAGCCCCUUGAGUUUCUUAACCUGCUGAUGGAAAGUCAUGUUUGAGAUCCUGCCUGCCUAUCAGCUGGUCUUCUGGUCUUUUGGCGCAGGGAUUAGGUGGGGUAGGUGGCGUACAGAUGGGAUAUCAGUGGAUCUCAAAACUAAUGCCCUGCCCUUUCUAUCUCUUACAGGAACAAGCCUCAAAUGUUUAUGCCAUCUUGUAGUUUACAAAACACCUUCAGAUUUCACAAUUCACAAAGCAUCUCAACCGCUCUGAGAGGGGAGCAGAGUUAUCUCCUGAAUAUAGAAGUUUGUCAUCUUUCUGCAGGUGGCUCAAACAAUAAAAAGCAAAGUUAGGCUUAUAUCCAUUUAGGUUUUAUGUCACAUUGAGCUUUAGUUUACCAAAUGCCCCUGGUUAAGUGGAUACAAUUUCACACUAAUAAAGCCUAAGGGAUAUCUCCAUGGCUUUGUUCAAUGAAGUUUUUACAUAGUAAUGCAUUUAUGGAAAUCACAUUUGUAUUGAGUUUAUAAAUAGUGGUCAGAUUCAUUAUUUUUGCUAAUUUCUGUAAUGACUGUAUGUAGAAGCCUGUAUUAUUCUUUUUUUUUUUUUUUUGAGAAAACUCAGACUGAGGUAGGAUCUUGCUCAAGGGUACAUGAGUGUCACAGCAGAUUGUCACUUGGUUCUUCUUAUAAUAGAACCCCUGUCCACUAUAUGUACCUCUUCUCUGCUAUAAAUAGAAAGAAGAUGAGUCCAAUAAGGUAGGUUUGCUCCAAGCAGUUCUGUUUAGAAACACAGAGACUUAUGUUUCUUCCUCACCUUUCCAUGAAUUCUCCCAAGAUCUAGAGGUGGGAGCAAAUGCCUCAGGUGAUGGUUCUCUCUGAGGCUGGGAAAGUGAGGCUGAGAAAUAGCUGCAUCAUGGGAAAGAUACAUGUAGCGUACUGCAUUUAGUUUCUUCCAGACUUCACAUGUUUUUCAUGUGGGAUAUUUCUUUUUAAAAAAAUUGAAUUUAUUUAUUUUAUUUUAUUUUUUAAUACCAGAAAUUUAACCCAGGGGUGCUUAACUACUGAGCCACAUCCCCAGCCCUGUUUUAUAUUUUAUUUAGAGAUAAGGUCUCUCUGAGUUGCUUAGGGCCACACUAUGUUUUUUAGGGCUGGCUUUGAACUCGUGAUUCCCUUACCUCAGUCUCCCAAGCCACUGGAAUUACAGGCAUGAGCCACUGCAUCUGGCUUAAAUUUAUUCUUAAUAAAUAUAUAAAACAUAAAGAUUGUACAUAUGAACAAUGUACCAUAUGUUGUCUCAAUACAUGUAUACCUUGUAUAAUCUUUAAAUAAGUUAAAUAUCUC